AAAAGAAAGCCCGACAUCGGGGUGUCACUAGUCAUGAGCAUCUUUUACAACUGUCUAACAACAUUAAGGCCAAUAUGGCAGAGAAAAUCACAAGAAUACACUAAGGGAGAACAAGGAGGGAGAAAAAAAAGGCUGCAAUCGCCAGGCAGCUACCUUACUAACUCUGAUGAACCUGCCACCGAGCUUAGAAAUACCUGAAUCUGCACAGAAGGUCCAGAGAGUAAUGUGAGUACGCCAACUCAGUAAGUAAUAAAAGUAAAUAAAGACUGAGCAGUAAGAAAUCGCGUAAACCAUGUCAUGGAACCACAGUGGGUACAAUAUGUUUCCAAAACAAGAUACAAUUUAGAUCAUCUCGUUAAACUCCAAUUUCGGUAAAAUCCUUGAAAAAGGUCUUUCUAAUAGUUUCAGCAGAGGUUCAGUGUAAUUUAUAGUGAAAUUGAUGAAAAUCAUAAUCGACCCCUCAGGCAAAACAUAGAUCGUAUACAGUUUCCUCGAGCAAAUAGAAAUUCAUAAACGUCUCAAAACUUAAAAAUCUCACUGGAAGUAACAAAGCCAAAUCAGUGAUUAAAUUCCGAACACCUCGUAAAAACUCCAGUUUAAAUGAAAGUUGUUUAAAAUAUUUAUUUAACAUUUUCAAUAUAUGCUCAGAAUAAAGAUGAGUGAGAUCAGUAAUUUAAUCAACAUAUUUAAUAGAGACUCACUUUAAGGAGGAGUGGAAAAUAGUAAUUUAAUAAACAAGCUCCUCAGGCAAAGCAUCACUCGUAUAUGUGUAUAUAUAUAGCCCCUCAAUCAGCCUCUCUGUCACUCAUGACUCAACUCUCAUCAAUCAGUGCUCACACUCAGCACUCACACUCAAUAGGUACCAUAUAAUAACCACUACGGCGUGUAGCCCUAUCCAUAUAUCGCUGCAGCGUGCAGCCCGAUCCAUAUCUAUAGUCGACUGCGCUCACUGGGGGUGUGCAGACUCCGGAGGGGCUCUNNNNNNNNNNNNNNNNNNNNNNNNNNNNNNNNNNNNNNNNNNNNNNNNNNNNNNNNNNNNNNNNNNNNNNNNNNNNNNNNNNNNNNNNNNNNNNNNNNNNNNNNNNNNNNNNNNNNNNNNNNNNNNNNNNNNNNNNNNNNNNNNNNNNNNNNNNNNNNNNNNNNNNNNNNNNNNNNNNNNNNNNNNNNNNNNNNNNNNNNNNNNNNNNNNNNNNNNNNNNCGUUGCGGCGUGCAGCCCUAUCCAUAAAUAUAUAAUCCUCACAACAGGACCUCGACCUCUCUCAGUCAUCAACCUCACAAUUAGACCCUCGGUCUCUCUCUCUCAGACAUCAACUUUACAAGCUACUCGGACUAUGAGUAAAACAGGGCGUUCAGCUAAAAAUAUCAUUUAUAGUAUCAAAACUGAGUAAAUAAGGCUGAGUUAUGAAAUCAGUAAAACACAACAUAACUGAGUACAAUUAUUAAGUCAAAACAGUGAGGAAUAGUAGUAAAAAAAGCACCAUAAGGGUCCAAAACAGUUGGCACGAGGCCCAAAUAUGGUAUUCUUCCCAAAACAUCGCAAUACUUUCCAAAACACAAUGAUAUCAAAUAGUUUUCAAUCAAAUACACAACUUAACAAUCGUAUGGGAUGGACCAGGUCACAAUCCCCAACGGUGCACAAUCCCCAACGGUGCACAACCCCACGCUCGUCAUCUAGUGUGUGCGUCAUCUCAAAGUAGCACAACAGUGUGAAAUCCGGGGUUUCAUACCAUCAGGACAACAUUUACAAUCAUUACUUACCUCAAUCUAGUCCAAACUCUAGCCCGCGAUGCCUUUGCCCCUUGAAUCGGCCUUCAAUUGCUCCAAAUCUAACAAAAAUCAGAUUCAUACCAUCAAAGUAUGCUAAAGGAACAAAGUCCACUCGAAAGUAACCAAGUUACUUCAAAAAUUCCGAAAUUGGCAAAACCUAACCCCCGGGCUCACGUCCCGGUAUUCGAUAAAAAUCACAUCAAUAGAAUCCUUAUCCUCUCACGAGUCUAUAUAUACCAAAAUCAUCAAAAUCCGACAUCAAAUACCCCUUCAAAUCCCCAAAAUCAUCUCUCAAAUUAUCUUCCACUUUUCCCCAAUUGCACCUCAAAUUUCCUGGAAUUUGACAAAAAAUAAGUGAAGAACACUUACCCCAAUCAAUCCUCUAAAAAUCCCUCCAAAAUUGCCUUCUCCCGAGCUAUCUAAUGAAAAUUUGAAAUUAUGGACCAAAACCCUCGUUUUAGAACUUAAUAUUCUGCCCAGAUAUUUUUCUUCAUCGCGAACGGCAGUACCCUCGCAUUCGCGAAGUACAAAGCUUCACUGACCAAAAUUCUCUUCUUUGCAAACGCGAGGGUCCACCCGCGAACACGAAGACCACACAGCUCGACCCUAUGCGAACGCGAUUCCCUAGUCGCGAACACGUAGCUUGAUCUCCUGAACUUUUGCAAACGUGGGGCCUUCAUAGUGAACGUGAAGAACAAAUGUACAGACUCACUCAACAACCCUUCGCGAACGCGAAGAAGGAUUUUCUGCAACAAAAACACCAGCAAAUUCUGCCAACUUUCAAAACCAAUAAUUGAUCCGUUAACCACCCGAAACUCACCCGAGACACUCAAGACCUCAACCAAACUUUCCAACACAUCCUAUAACAUCAUUAAAACUUGUUCCAACCUUUGGACGCUAAAAACAACAUCAAAACAUCAAAUCACCCUCGGAUUCAAGCCUAAGAAUUCCAAAACUUCCAAAUCCCGCUUUCGAUCAAAAAGUCUAUCAAACCUCGUCCGAAUGACCUAAUAUUUUGAACACAUGUCACAAAUGACACAACGGACCUGCUUCAAUUUCCGGAACUCCAUUCUAACCCUGAUAUCAAAAUUUUCACUACCAACCGGAAAAUGCCAAAUUUUCAAUUUCGCCAAUUCAAGCCUAAACCUUCCACAUACUUCCAAAAUACAUUCCGAUCACGCUCCUAAUUCCCAAAUCACCUAACGGAGCUAACCAUAUCAUAAAAAUCCAAAUCCAAGAUCACAUACUAACAAGUCAAAACACGGUCAAAUCUUUCAAAUUUAAAGCUUCAAAUUGAGAAUUGUUCUUCCAAAUCUGUUCCGAUUAUCCUGAAAACCAAAACCGACGAUUCACAUAAGUCGUAAUGCAUCAUAGGAGACUAGUCUUGCCCAAGAACUGGUGAGCAAAGUGCAAAUGCUCAAAAUGGCCGGUCGGGUCGUUACAUCCUCCCCCACUUAAACAUACGUUCGUCCUCGAACAUGCCCAGAGUUGUUCCAAACACCAACAAAUCACUGUAUAAUCUUACCAUGCAGAUACUCGGGGGUGAUCCCACAUCACCCUAUCCUAUAUAGGUCUGAUAAUGUAACAUAACUGAAAUUUCGCAAUCCAACCAAAUCCAUGAACCUUUGAACCAAAUCUCUAGUUCCAUACUUAUCUAUAAUAUCAAAAUCUCACAUCUAUACACUGAAUAAGUUCGAACUAGCUGUAACGAACCAUACCUGCAACCUCAGAUACAAUUAAUGAUAUACCACAUAACUCUAACACUCGUAGCAAUAACUUCUAAUCACAACAGUUGCUCAAAACAACCGAAUAUCGAUAAUAAACCUUUUAUCAAAUAAAGCUUCGUUCUAACACUUCCGUAUAGUGCCAAUGAUGAAUAAAACACACAGAAAGUAAUAACCAUUCCUCAGAUCAACCAUUCAUGAAGCUCCCUCUCCCUUGGCAAGGACCAUAGUAAUUUCUAAGUCGAAUUUCGAUAUUAUAGUUCCAACAUGCUAAAAUCGAAUCCGAUAGUAUUCAUUCUAGGUCCCAAUGACCUCAUCUCAUCUAACAUGACCACUCUAGUGACAUGACACAUCAAUACAAUCUAAAGCCUCAACCCGUGCACCAAUAAGCAAUAGUCCAAAUGUACUCAAAUCAUGAAAAGUGAAUCAAAUGAGAGAUAUGUACCGCAGGCUCACCAGUACCACCACAACACAAUGUUGAGAAACCAUCACACAUCGUAGAACCAGAACAUAUGAAUCUAAUAGGGUGAUUUCGUCCUUGAAGGCCCAGCGUAUGGUAGGGAAGGAUUGUCUUUAAUAUUUAGUCUUUGUGAGGGAUGUCGGUACAGAGACUCCUAGUAUUAAUUCUGUUCCUGUUGUGAAGGAUUUUCCAGGUGUGUUUCCUGUAGACCUGCAAUUGAUACCCAAUUUUUCCUCAAACUCUUUUUUAAUUUUGCAUAUAUGCCUUCAAAAUCACUUUUUUUAAUAAUUGGUAUUUGUCACACCUCCUCUUUCCUACACCCCAGAAGGGUAUAAGGAGUCUUUUCCAAUUUAAGUGACAAUCGAAACGGGAUUAAUUAUUAGAAUUCAGAGUCGCUACUUGGGAUAAUUUAUGGUGUCCCAAGUCACCGGUUCAAAUCCCGAAUCGAGGAAAGAUUGACUAUGUUUUAUAGUCCGCGAACACAGAAAUUCUGUUAACCCAGGAGAAGGUGUUAGGCAUUCCCGAGUUCUGUAGUUCUAGCACGAUCGUUCAACAAUUAUAAUUGACCUAUUAUCUGAUUCUAAUACAUGUUUUAACCUAUGGUACAACUUUAACUUUAUAACCGCUUUUAUUUAAUAUUUUUUUAGGAAGAUUUUAAGGUUAUUUAAAACACGUCUUGAACCACGUCACAUAAAUGCACCCGCGGUCCCCGCCAUAUUUUAUCUAACAUUAUUGAGAUUUGGAUUUGGGUCACAUAAAUGCACACUCGAGUUUAGGAAGGUAAUAUUUAAAAUUGCGCGCCUAAAGCAACUACGCAUCUUCAAGUUUGCGAGGGCCAUGAAAAUUCAACUAAAUGAGACGCCUCGAUUUUUAAGGAUUAAAAUUAAUUAAGUGAGGGCCAUGAGUUUUGGGAUUUUAUUGUUGAGGAAAAUGGAUAGGUUUAAUCACUAGAAAUUAUCUACAACUUUGAAAUUCUUACUAUUCUGUAUGUUUACAAGAUUCAGCCCAACCGGUCAUUUAUGGACUUUGGGCCAAUUGUUGUUAAAGUUGAAGCAUCAUUUUAAUUCUCAGAUUCAUGACCAUCCUCCUUCAAAUAAUUCAAAAGCUAAUCUCCAAAGAUAAUACUACUUAAUAGAGAACAAUCGCUAAUGAACUAAUUUAUUUACUCAAUUUAUCCUUAUCAAUCAGUUAAAAUAAUACAUAAAGAAAACUCAAAUAACAUCAUACUCACAUCCAUUUCUACAAAAUUUAUAAAUAAAUAAUAAUAAAAGGUAAAGAAAAGCACACUCUGAUGUUCCCCCAAUUUCACAACAAAUUCUUCAUAUUUAUCAAAGCUUAUCGUUAAAGCUUGCACAAACAUAUGGUAGGAAACGCACAUUGAUUGACUUAAUUUAAUUUAGAAAAUAUCACUUUAAAGCUUCAGGUUCAUUUAACUUCAAGUAAAGAGCAAACUCGAACAAGAAAAUAAGCAGACAAAUGCUACAAGAUUAUGACACAACUUCUAUAUAUAAAAAUAAUUACACCAGAUCUUGGGAAGGGAAAGUACCUAGAUGACAAAAAUUUGAGCUAAAGCAGCUACGUAAAGAUGAAGGAAAGCUGGGGCUCAGCGAUGAAGCAAACAACGGCAACAACGAAUCUGCCCGGAAAACUCAGAGUAUGACCUUCAAUGAACUCGGAACUCGCCAGAAAAUUCAAAUUAGACCAAAAAAACUCAUCAUAAUUUGGACCUCUCACUUUUCAUUUCAACUCAUUUUUUAGACUUUAUGCUAUGUAUUUUGUUUCUAUUUUUUUUUUCUGAUCUUUGAAGUAAAGAUAAAGAAAAAGAAACUGAAGAAACUUGCUUAAUUGAGGAAGUGGUCGAUUCUUUUUGUUCCCUCUCGAUUGUUGUUCGUGUCUUUGUUAUAUAGUAAAGGUGUAUAUGAUAUAUAAUAAAAAUAAAACCUAUAAUGGAGGAAGUCUCAUUACUGCAUCAGAUUUUCAUGCUUUCAGUAACUUUCAAAAUAAAGUAAUUGGCUGCACUUGUCGUAUAUGGUAGCUUCUAUAGCUCAAGUAUUUUGAUUCCUCACUUCUCUUGUGUGUAAGUUGCGGCUAGGUUGGGGGUGUGAGGGAUCUACCGUUCUUGGGUUGGAGGAGGCAACAGGUUUUGGUGAAGGUCUGUAUCAGUGAUGAAAAUUGAGAAAAAGAAGGUAUCCAGCAGGAGCAGAAGUCGCAAAAAUGCGUCGUUUGCUCUCUAGGGGAAUGGUCUAUGAUCUGAUUUUUUUGUAUCUAAAUUGUAUUU
Molecule: long non-coding RNA, 6230 nt
Filed under: Nicotiana tabacum (common tobacco)
Lineage: Eukaryota; Viridiplantae; Streptophyta; Magnoliopsida; Solanales; Solanaceae
Description: long non-coding RNA (NTAB_LNC014009)
Source: RNAcentral